AUCCAGACUCCUACGGGAGGCAGCAGUGAGGAAUAUUGGUCAAUGGGCGCGAGCCUGAACCAGCCAAGUCGCGUGAGGGAGGACGGCCCUACGGGUUGUAAACCUCUUUUGCCGGGGAGCAACGGGGUCCUUGCGAGGGCCCGAUGAGAGUACCCGGAGAAAAAGCAUCGGCUAACUCCGUGCCAGCAGCCGCGGUAAUACGGAGGAUGCGAGCGUUAUCCGGAUUUAUUGGGUUUAAAGGGUGCGUAGGCGGACGCUUAAGUCAGCGGUAAAAUUGCGGGGCUCAACCUCGUCGAGCCGUUGAAACUGGGUGCCUUGAGUGGGCGAGAAGUACGCGGAAUGCGUGGUGUAGCGGUGAAAUGCAUAGAUAUCACGCAGAACUCCGAUUGCGAAGGCAGCGUACCGGCGCCCAACUGACGCUGAAGCACGAAGGCGUGGGUAUCGAACAGGAUUAGAUACCCGCGUACGC
RNAcentral lists this ribosomal RNA (469 nucleotides) under uncultured bacterium. RNAcentral's name for it is "bacterial SSU rRNA". It matches the Rfam family "Bacterial small subunit ribosomal RNA", at positions 329 to 795 of the family's 1533-position model. The record is from RNAcentral.